Non-coding RNA from Paramuricea clavata, 410 nucleotides. NCBI's taxonomy places the organism in Eukaryota, Metazoa, Cnidaria, Anthozoa, Malacalcyonacea, Plexauridae. The record is from the annotation of a GenBank genome assembly.
GGGGAGUUCGGACAACCUAGAGGACUUUGACUACAUUAGCAUAGAAUACUAACCUAUUCAGAAAGUCAUCUCUAUUGUGUUUUGCACACGCGAUGUUUGUCAUCUAUCCGCUCCUUGGCAAGUGCCCUAAACAGAAGCAGGUUAGUAUUCGGCGCUAAUGUAGUCAAAGUCCUCAAAAGCACACCCCCACCCCCCACCCCAAAUUGUCCUAAAAUUUCCAAAACAUUUCACAUAGAUUUCAUAUUUUAAUAUUUUGCAUUUUUCCUGUAAUUUAAAUUUUCGGUGGUUUCUACUGCUACUGUUUCGUUUCGGCCUCUUCGUUUCGGUGGUUUCGUUUCGACGUUUCCCCUCUUAGUACAUGCCGAUAUAUGCAAGUCAGAUUAUAAUAGAUUAUAAUAUAAUAUGAUAUA